This is a long non-coding RNA of Carassius auratus (goldfish), 515 nucleotides long. RefSeq lists it as uncharacterized. NCBI's taxonomy places the organism in Eukaryota, Metazoa, Chordata, Actinopteri, Cypriniformes, Cyprinidae. The record is from RefSeq and is a predicted model, not a curated record. The transcript has 3 exons.
UGGACAUAAAGAUCUCCAGCAUAUCUCCAAUGAUUGUAGCAGACGUCAGCACUGGUGAAGAAGACACCUCAUCUCAGGUCAGGAUGUCAGCAGAAACUGGUCUUCUCACGAGCAUAAGUGCUGACACACACACACACAAAGCCCUUAUCUUCAACUCAAGGUUCUCUAGCACUGGCAAGUGUCUUAUCACUACGGUUGGAUACACACACAUAAUAGGCCGACAUUAAUCUUGAGGAAUAGAAAUACAGGAUAGAACAGGAUUCUUAAUACAUCUAGUAUACAUUUCUAAAUCUCCCUCGCAGCGCACGUAGUGGAAGGGCCUCUCCUGACCCUUUUAGCUGACCUUGUGACCCUAGGAGAAGGAAUACACUCACAUAUGUUCCUGUCUGUUACUUCAAAACACUUCUAAAAGGAAAAAUAUAUAUCUGUGUAAGCAUGCAUCUAUCUAUAUGUAUAUACAGGUCCUUCUCAAAAAAUUAGCAUUGUGAAAAAGUUCAUUAUUUUCCAUAAUGUAA